Molecule: long non-coding RNA, 591 nt
Organism: Fundulus heteroclitus (mummichog)
Lineage: Eukaryota; Metazoa; Chordata; Actinopteri; Cyprinodontiformes; Fundulidae
Exons: 3
Source: RefSeq, a predicted model, not a curated record
AACUGUCAGGGUGCUGUCUGUUUGCUCUGGUUCUGGGUCUUUUCCCACAGGUGGUGUUGGUGUCUGUGGGGGCGUGACCCACACCUGCGGCUCGUCAGGAGCAGAUUCCGCUGGCUUCUUAAGCAGUGCAGAGACAGAUGGAAGAUGCCAGAGCCUUAAACCAGUCGUGUUUUGUGUGCUUGGAUGCACUUACCUGGCCUGGAGUUUUGAUGAGGAGUUGUUCAGUGGAAGUCCUGUGCUCAGAUGUUGCUCUGACGUUCCCCCUCAAACUUUCUAGGACGUACCUAGUUGGAGUGAGGUCCCCCCCUCCUGGAUUCCACUUGCAUCCUCAACUUUCUGUACUCUGGUCAAUCCGUCUGUCCCUCCUACCUGUGGAGGUUGCUUCGGGUCUCUCGCCAGUUUCCACCAGCUUUCCUCCAGUCACCACCCACAUAUCAGAGAAGACACUAGUUCCCUCAAUGCUUACUCUUCCCUGCUCGUGUUUCUCCGACUAAGGUUAAUCCCGCCCAGAUGUUCAGGCCUCGAUCCAGGCGUCUAGCAGUUCCAACUUGUUUUUGCACCUUGCUCCUUUAAUAAACAUCUUAAACUGUG